CAAGGUUUGACAUCACCCGGAAACACCCAGAGAUGGGUGCCUCUUCGGACUGGGUGACAGGUGGUGCAUGGCUGUCGUCAGCUCGUGUCGUGAGAUGUUGGGUUAAGUCCCGCAACGAGCGCAACCCUUGCUCCAUGUUGCCAGCACGCCCUUCGGGGUGGUGGGGACUCAUGGGGGACUGCCGGGGUCAACUCGGAGGAAGGUGGGGAUGACGUCAAGUCAUCAUGCCCCUUAUGUCUUGGGCUGCAAACAUGCUACAAUGGCCGGUACAGAGGGCUGCGAAACCGUGAGGUGGAGCGAAUCCCUAAAAGCCGGUCUCAGUUCGGAUUGGGGUCUGCAACUCGACCCCAUGAAGUCGGAGUCGCUAGUAAUCGCAGAUCAGCAACGCUGCGGUGAAUA
RNAcentral lists this ribosomal RNA (399 nucleotides) under uncultured bacterium. RNAcentral describes it as "bacterial SSU rRNA". It matches the Rfam family "Bacterial small subunit ribosomal RNA", at positions 975 to 1368 of the family's 1533-position model. The record is from RNAcentral.